RNAcentral lists this long non-coding RNA (2307 nucleotides) under Panax ginseng (ginseng). RNAcentral's name for it is "long non-coding RNA (PGIN_LNC001869)". Lineage: Eukaryota; Viridiplantae; Streptophyta; Magnoliopsida; Apiales; Araliaceae. The record is from RNAcentral.
UGAACUUUACUAAGCAUUCCUUUUGAGUCAAGGUAGCUCAGGAAGGGCCAACCUCUUAGAGUGAACUAAGGGUCAGGUUUGUCCCUGAGGCGCUUUCCAGAUGAAAAACUUUAGAAGUGAUUUGCACUGAUAUCUCAUUAUACCUUUUCUGCUGGGGAGUUCAUCUACCAACUUUGGACAUUUACAUUGGUUGUAAUUAUGGUGUUCUCCUUCUCUUACACUAUGAUCAGAUGUUUGAUCGUAGGCACUCAACAAUUUUGAGUAGGGUGGCUGAUGAGUUAUCAGUAGUACGUUUUGAGACGUUCCUACUGACUAUGGAUCUUCUUAUGGUUUGUCAGCCACAAAGUUUUGGGACUUGGCAACUGGUACAUUGCUUCAUAGACUAUCUCUGAUGUUUUAGAGCUGCUGUUCUGUUAGCAGAUCACUGCUCCCCCAUAGUUGAUACUGUCUUCUCAGAGAGACAUAAGUUCUUCUUCUUCAUGUGUAGCAGAAGGCAGCCUUGCAUAUCUCAUUCUGGCUGAAGUCAUUAAAUCUUCUUGUAUUGUAGAAAUGGGCAUCUUCAGGGUUGAUCAUUCUACGAUCCUUUGAUAGCACUACGAACGUAGUCUUCCUUGUCAGUGUGUACUUGUGGAGAUCUGCUCCCAUAAUGAGUUCUUCAUGUUUGAUGCUCGAUGAUCCUCUGAUGUGAGCUUCCUUGAGGAUUCUUCUCUUAUAACCUUCUUUGCAUGAUUGACCAUAUGAGACCCUUUUCAUCUUUGGUUAAAUGGUCUGCUUCCAUAUAAAGAUCAGCAGCCAUGUGAGCUUAAGUCAGAUUAGCUCAACAAGUCUUCAAGGGCAUGCUUUGACAUAUAAGAGUUUUAUCAGAAUCAUUUUUGAACAGUCUUAAGCCUUCUGCUGGUUGAAUCUUUAUUGACUGAAGUCCUCUGCUUCAGCAUUCCUUAGUGUGGCCAGGUGGACCAGGUACCUGUAGGUUAGAUACAUUUCUAUUUUUGGUACCCAUAAUUAAAUAGGUCCUGCUAGGUUAGUUUUCUUAAUCUCUGUUCCUCAUAUAUUUGAACAAUCAACAUAUUGAUCACCAUCAAUCAUAUUUAUGCAUGUAACUAAUUUAGAUAAUACAUUUUGAGAUGCAUGAUGGUGAGUGUGUGUAAGAUUUACCAUUUUAAUAAAAUACUCUUUUCCUUUGAUGGUUUCAUCAUUUGCUUGGUUAUGUUCACAGAGUUUAAAUAUUCACAGCGUAAGAAUCAACACUAUUACUUAUUUGUAUCUGGUUGAUUCAUAGAGGUGAUCUGUUUCUACAAAUCUUGAAGAUACUGUUGUAGAACUGAUCAUACUCUGUGUGUUAUCAAACACUUAGAACAUAGGUUUGUUCAUACAUACUCACCCAACAACAAAGAUUAUUUUACAUAAGAUUAAUUUAAACUUUGAUAUGCUUAUGACCUAUUUCAGAUUUCUUUCAAGAUGUCAUCUUCAGCCUAAAACUUGGAUGGAGAGAAAGUUUGUAAGCAUUUGAGUUUCCAACCUCAGAGUACUUUCUCUCUUCACCUUUUUAGGUAGAUUAUGAUUUCUUGAAAGAAUACUGUUAUAGUUCAUAAGGAGGUGCAACAUGAUGUACAGAGUUAUAUUAGUGAGGAACCGUACCUUUCUACUGUCAGUUUCUUAACAGUCAUUUAUCUUCGAUAUACUGAGGUUAGGAAUUGAUGUGCAUAGUUUCUCAUUUUCUCCUGACAACUUGUUGCUCCAGUUGACUUUCAAUCAAUCAGUCAUGGUCUUGAAGAUACAAGGUAAGAGAAUCUCAGCAUCUUUAGUUCCUUGACAUCCUUGAGUUCACAAGGUUUACAUCCAGCUGCUGGUUGGCCAGAUACGUGUCUGAGAAGUUCUUCUUUCUUCUCUGGAUAAGCAUUUUUUAGCAUGUAUGACCUUUUCAUCUUUUCAGGCUGGUGGAUGUUUGACUCUUUUCUAUUGAUGUCUCUUGAGCUUCCAAGCCUCGACUUCAGACUACAAGAUUGACUGCAUGCAAGGAUUGGUCUUGUUGAUAUGGCAAUCAAGAGCAUGGACCAAUCUGAGUAGCUUUAGGAGUAUAUACUCAUUUACCUAUACACAAUAUUUCUAACGUGUGAGCUCAUCUGCAUAUAACAAGUAACUUACUACUAAACUAAGUUUAGAACAAUGUUUGUACCUUGGAUCAGACUCAAUGCGAUUAGCUUUUGAAUAUAGCAUGAGAACCUGCUCUGAUACCAAUUGUUAGUUCCCAGUAGGCACAUAAUAGAUCUAGAAGGGGGGGGGGUUAAAUUGAUCCUUUUUAAUUUU